CCCACACGCACACACACGCACGUUGGAUACCAUCUCUCUCAUCUUCCUCGAUCCCCUUUCUCCACCCCACGCUGCCGCCAGAUUUUGGCGAUCCUCGCCGUUCCCCACCGCCCAGCUCUCCUUCUCGAGGUCACCUCUCCCAGCUCACCAUCUCCACCGACCGGUUUCUCUCCUCGCCCAGGAGAGUCCCACCUCCUCACCACCAAGGCCGCCGCCGCCCGCCGCCUCCUCCUCGAGCGCCGUGCCGCAGACCUCGCCUCCCAUGCCCUCGCCGCCCGCGCUGACAUCGACGCCACCCACGCGCGCCGCCUCGCUGUCGCCCGCGACAUCAGCUCGACCAACGGCGAGAUCGAGGACGCGCAGCGAAAGGCGGAGGAGUGGGACCGCUUCUACGAGUCCAAGAGGAAGGAGAUGGAGGAGUUCCGGCCGUCGUCUCCACAGCCUCCAUCCACCCCGGCCGCAGCCACUUGUCAACCCCACGAGCAGCCUCCUGGCCUAGUUCCUCGUCACCGUCCUCCUCCCGGUCCCUGUCCACCUCCGCCUCCACCUGGUGGUCCCAGAGGCGACGACUCCCCGUCGCCUUGGCCGCCGUAGAGCUCCGCGAGGCCGCUGCGGGUGGUGGAGACUCCGUCCGCGUCAUCGAGACGCCACAACCCAACAAGUGUUAAGUUCAGCGUGGAGGCAGCCCUGCAGGAGCUGCAGAGCAGCAGGUUGCACUCGGACGACGCCGGGAUCGGGGCUGCGGAAGCCAGGAAGGCCGACCUCAUGGCUAAGAAGGCCAAGCUGGACGAGACCCUGGCUGCAGCCCGCCAGUUCAGAGCACUGCUUCGGCAGCAACUCCAGAAAGCCUUCGCGUCACAGGUUAGGGAUCAAAAGGCAGCACAAAACUGACUAGUUAUAUGGUACAAGCAAAAUGACAUUCAUUAGCUAGCUCCUCAAUCGCUUCGUAUUAAGUAUGCAAUGCAAGUCUGGCGGGCUACCGGUUACUAACAUAGUAGUACAAAUGUAGUGUUACUUUUAGGCAAAUGUUGAGCAAAUUUUGAACUAAUGGAUGAGUUUCGUGGGACGAAGCGGGCUUCCACUUGCACUCCUCCUACUGAUGAAACGAACUUCAAAUGUCUCUACAUGCAGAUACAUGCUUUUUUAUUUCAGUCUUGUUUAGAGGAGGCCCCGGUGGCGUCGAGCUGCUGUUGCUGUGGGCAUAGCGACGUCGGCGUGGUCAGGAUGGUCGCAGCCUUUCAAGAUUCUCAACGGUGGUGUCUCGGCGCUGAUGGCGGAGUCGACGAUGAGCAUCGGCGGGUACAGGUUCAGAUCAUCCAUGAUUGGUAGUUAUUGGUCAUAUUUAGUUGCAUUUUGGUCAGUCUGGUUGUGGCUAUGGAGCACUUCUUUUGGUCAUGUGCUAGAUCUGUCAUGUAGGAGUAUUUGGCAAUGGAUAUAUGCUCAUACAGAAUUUUGAUAAUCAACUAGGAAUUACAAUUAGAAUCAAAGCACUGCUACUUGUACUCCUUUCAUGAAAAAAGGCUACUCGUAGGACCCUUGUAGGAGACCAUCCUCAAGAUCGACGAGAAGAUGAGGUCUGGACCCUUGUAGGAGACCAUCCUCAAGCAGCUCUAGAUAUGGAGUAGGAGGACGAGCAGUAGCAGCAAAUCAUCCUGAUGAUGACGGGGUGCGGAAGGCAAUGGUGAUCAUGCUGAUGGCAUGAAGAAGGCUGGUGACAACAACCUAGACCUGUUGGCAUUUAGAGAUGGCAAACAAAGGUGGCAGACAACAACCUGGACCACCCACCUCCCUUGCCUUUAGUUAUAAGGCGUCUCAUGAAAAUUAUGAAAAUUGUAGAUAGUUGCUCCUUGAUUGAUUGUAUUUCUUUGUUGCAAUCCAUGAUAAAUUCACCCCAUUCUUAUGAACAAAAUAAAGCUUUUACUAAA
This is a long non-coding RNA of Triticum aestivum (bread wheat), 1925 nucleotides long. RefSeq lists it as uncharacterized. Lineage: Eukaryota; Viridiplantae; Streptophyta; Magnoliopsida; Poales; Poaceae. The record is from RefSeq and is a predicted model, not a curated record. The transcript has 3 exons.